Gallus gallus (chicken) is the source of this 1029-nucleotide long non-coding RNA. The record is from Ensembl. NCBI's taxonomy places the organism in Eukaryota, Metazoa, Chordata, Aves, Galliformes, Phasianidae.
AAAGGAGAAAGCACCUUUGGUUGGGGAGGUUUCCCUUCUCCCAGCUGUGGAGGUUCAGGUGGGAUUGCUUUUGAGCUUGUAGGCCCAUCUCUGAAUGCAGGCACCUGCGCAAACAGAGCUCUACUGCAAAGCAAAGAGUAAGGAUGGAAAGGAGAGAUCUGAAGGCUCUGUGUGUGUGGAUUCCUUUGGUGCCUUACACUGUGAGCAAUCCCGCAGUCUAAGGGCUGUGUCAGUCUGCAGCUGGUUCUGAAAGGCUCACCAUGAAAAUAGCUCGGCAGUGAGGAAGCAGCGGGGAGGAGAUGGCCUGUGUACUAUCCUGUGCUGCUAUUGUCUCAGUCGUGUCUGAAUGGACUUGCAAGCCUCUUCCACCAAGAGCUGGUCUUUUCUCCUCCUCUGCUACUUACUUUUCCCACUUUCAUGUUUUGUACUUCAGAGCCGGGCGCUCUGCUAGCUAGGGUCAGCAGUGGGUCAUGACUUGUGACAUGAGGUUAAUGCAGUUGUUAAGUAACAGCAAGAGACUUCCAGUGGCAUGAAUAUUCCUCUCCACCUUCUCCCAGACGUGCACACGCUCGCUGUCUCAGCCUGAGCCCAACACUUCGUUAACAUAGGGGUGACUGUGUGAUGCGUGCACAACAUGAGCUGCGAUCCUACUUACGUCAGCUACCACGUGCUCAAUCAAACAAGCUGUUCAGUGGGUAGCACAGAGAGGCUUCCAAUAUCUUUAAAAAGUUGGAAGCAUGUAGCGACUGCCUUCUGAUGGCUGGAAAUGGAUGAUGGAUAAUGACAGCACUGUUGGCACCACACUGUGAGCAGGAACAGAAGCAUGCAGGCUGAUCACAAUCUCUGAGCUUGUCCACAGUGCCCGUUUGCUUUAAGGAGGGCUGUGUAUGCUUAAGAGAAGCUCUGGUGAUCCGGAUAAGAUUUUCAGAGAUGUAAAAAUCGUGGAAUUGUAUUGCAGGUUUGCAAAUGUUUGCAGUCAGAGCACUUUGAUGUGAAGGCUGUCUUUUGUGGGGGCGGAGGGAGAGGAAG